UGGGGAAUUUUGGACAAUGGGCGAAAGCCUGAUCCAGCAAUGCCGCGUGUGUGAAGAAGGCCUUCGGGUUGUAAAGCACUUUUGUCCGGAAAGAAAUCCUUGGCUCUAAUACAGUCGGGGGAUGACGGUACCGGAAGAAUAAGCACCGGCUAACUACGUGCCAGCAGCCGCGGUAAUACGUAGGGUGCAAGCGUUAAUCGGAAUUACUGGGCGUAAAGCGUGCGCAGGCGGUUUGCUAAGACCGAUGUGAAAUCCCCGGGCUCAACCUGGGAACUGCAUUGGUGACUGGCAGGCUAGAGUAUGGCAGAGGGGGGUAGAAUUCCACGUNUAGCAGUGAAAUGCGUAGAGAUGUGGAGGAAUACCGAUGGCGAAGGCAGCCCCCUGGGCCAAUACUGACGCUCAUGCACGAAAGCGUGGGGGAGCAAAACAGGAUUAGAUACCCUGGUAGUCCACGCCCCUAAACGAUGUCAACUAGUUGUUGGGGGAUUCAUUUCCUUAGUAACGUAGCUAACGCGUGAAGUUGACCGCCUGGGGAGUACGGUCGCAAGAUUAAAACUCAAAUGAAUUGACGGGGUCAUAGCUGUUUCCU
Molecule: ribosomal RNA, 589 nt
Filed under: uncultured bacterium
Lineage: Bacteria
Description: partial 16S ribosomal RNA
Rfam family: Bacterial small subunit ribosomal RNA
Source: RNAcentral